AUACGGAGGCUCCGAGCGUUAUCCGGAUUUAUUGGGUUUAAAGGGUGCGCAGACGGCCAUUUAAGUCAGCGGUUAAAUCGUGGGGCUCAACCCCAUUCUGCCGUUGAUACUGGGUGGCUUGAUUGCGGUCGAGGUUGGCGGAAUUCGUUGUGUAGCGGGGAAAUGCAUAGAUAUGACGAAGAACACCGAUUGCGUAGGCAGCUGACCAGACCGCAAAUGACGCUCAUGCACGAAAGUGCGGGGAUCGAACAGGAUUAGAUACCCUGGUAGUCCGCACAGUAAACGAUGAAUACUUGUUUUCGGCGAUAUAAUGUCGGAGGCAAAGCGAAAGCGAUAAGUAUUCCACCUGGGGAGUACGCCGGCAACGGUGAAACUCAAAGGAAUUGGCGGGG
This 392-nucleotide ribosomal RNA is filed under the name uncultured bacterium. RNAcentral's name for it is "partial 16S ribosomal RNA". It matches the Rfam family "Bacterial small subunit ribosomal RNA", at positions 523 to 918 of the family's 1533-position model. The record is from RNAcentral.